This 253-nucleotide ribosomal RNA is filed under the name uncultured bacterium. Its description in RNAcentral is "partial 16S ribosomal RNA". It matches the Rfam family "Bacterial small subunit ribosomal RNA", at positions 524 to 776 of the family's 1533-position model. The record is from RNAcentral.
UACGUAGGGAGCAAGCGUUGUCCGGAAUCAUUGGGCGUAAAGCGCGCGUAGGCGGCCUCAUAAGUCCGUUGUGAAAGUCAAAGGCUCAACCUUUGAAAGCCGAUGGAUACUGUGAGGCUAGAGUCCGGAAGAGGCGAGUGGAAUUCCUGGUGUAGCGGUGGAAUGCGCAGAUAUCAGGAGGAACACCAAUAGCGAAGGCAGCUCGCUGGGACGGUACUGACGCUAAGGCGCGAAAGCGUGGGUAGCAAACAGG